This 443-nucleotide ribosomal RNA is filed under the name uncultured bacterium. RNAcentral describes it as "partial 16S ribosomal RNA". It matches the Rfam family "Bacterial small subunit ribosomal RNA", at positions 338 to 795 of the family's 1533-position model. The record is from RNAcentral.
CCUACGGGUGGCUGCAGUGGGGAAUAUUGGGCAAUGGGCGCAAGCCUGACCCAGCAACGCCGCGUGAAGGAAGAAGGCCUUCGGGUUGUAAACUUCUUUUAUCAGGGACGAAGGAAGUGACGGUACCUGAUGAAUAAGCCACGGCUAACCCCGUGCCAGCCGCCGCGGAAAUACGUAGGUGGCAAGUGUUCUCCGGAUUUACUGGGUGGAAGGGGCGUGGAGGCGGGAGUUCAAGGCAGAUCGGAAAACCAUGGGCUCAACCCAUAGCCUGCAUUUGAAACUGGACUUCUUGAGUGCUGGAGAGGCGAGCGGAAUUCCGGGUGUAGCGGUGAAAUGCGUAGAUAUACGGAGGAACACCAGUGGCGAAGGCGGACUGCUGGACAGUAACUGACGCUGAGGCGCGAAAGCGUGGGGAGCAAACAGGAUUAGAUACCCGAGUAGUC